Molecule: regulatory RNA element, 47 nt
Organism: Lepisosteus oculatus (spotted gar)
Lineage: Eukaryota; Metazoa; Chordata; Actinopteri; Semionotiformes; Lepisosteidae
Rfam family: Histone 3' UTR stem-loop
About the family: The mRNAs of metazoan histone genes lack a poly-A tail. 3' end processing occurs at a site between a highly conserved stem-loop (modelled by this family) and a purine rich region around 20 nts downstream (the histone downstream element, or HDE). The stem-loop is bound by a 31 kDa stem-loop binding protein (SLBP - also termed the histone hairpin binding protein, or HBP).
Source: Rfam
CAAAAGGCUUUCUUCAAAGCCACCCCUGAAUUUUCAUAAGAUUUCAU